RNAcentral lists this ribosomal RNA (219 nucleotides) under uncultured archaeon. RNAcentral describes it as "partial 16S ribosomal RNA". It matches the Rfam family "Archaeal small subunit ribosomal RNA", at positions 462 to 673 of the family's 1478-position model. The record is from RNAcentral.
UCGCCACGGUAAUACCAGCCCCGCGAGUGGUCGGGACGGUUAUUGGGCCUAAAGCGCCCGUAGCCGGCCUGGUAAGUCCCCUCCUAAAUCCCCCGGGCUCGAACCCGGGGACUGGGGGGGGAUACUACCGGGCUAGGGGGGCGGGGAGAGGCCGAGGGUACUCCCCGGGGUAGGGGGCGAAAUCCUAUAAUCCCCGGGAGGACCACCAGUGGCGAAGGC